GACGAACCGUCCAAACGUUAUUCGGAAUUACUGGGCUUAAAGGGUGCGUAGGCGGCGUUACAAGUCGGGUGUGAAAUCCCUCAGCUUAACUGAGGAACUGCGCCCGAAACUGUAGUGCUAGAGGGAGACAGGGGUGAGCGGAACUGAUGGUGGAGCGGUGAAAUGUGUUGAUAUCAUCAGGAACACCGGUGGCGAAGGCGGCUCACUGGGUCUCUACUGACGCUGAGGCACGAAAGCGUGGGGAGCAAACAGG
Molecule: ribosomal RNA, 253 nt
Filed under: uncultured bacterium
Lineage: Bacteria
Description: partial 16S ribosomal RNA
Rfam family: Bacterial small subunit ribosomal RNA
Source: RNAcentral